CGCGGUCAUGGCAGGAGCGGGCGACAGAAUCCGGUCUCGGAGGCUCCUGUAGCGAGCCACAGGAGGGAGCCUCCCAGGUGGUCGACCGGAGCCAGGUGCUGCCAGGCACCCGACUGCAGAGCUUGCCCUCCAGGUGAUCUCGCAGUAUCGGUGUUCACAAGCCCUGUAAGGCACUCGGGGUAUCCUGAAGGCUACAGAUUCUGCAAGGGCAGAGACUUUAAGGAACAGCCAUAGUCCUUCUCCAGCUCAAAAUCUGGACCAUGGGCACAAGGUAAACACCACACUGGUGUCAACAAAGGAAUCUGCUAUUUAUGUGGAUUUUUACUUUAGACAAACUAGAGUAUCUAUGUUGUUCUGUGUGUUGAACACAGAGUGUGAUGAUGUUAAUAUAAUGUAAAUGUUGAUGUAACAGUAAACAUUUCUGGCAACAUUUCAGGGUCCUUCCUCUUGCCUUAUUAGGGGGUGAUGCAUUCAUACAGACUUCCCCUGUUAGAAGAGCUAGCAGUAAGACAGCCCAAGUACUUGGAGGAAAUUCACUCUAGCCCAUUGGUUUGGAAAAGAAGGUAUAGCCUGCAAUUUAGAAAUGCACCUUAUUUUUAAAUACUUGAAUUCUGCUGCUGCUCACUGGACCAGGAGGAGUCAGUGAUGAAUGCUCAUAUUUACCUUUUUGGGGGCAAAAACCCAGUUCUGAAAUGCUGGGUAUUGUAAUCAGAUGUAAAGAAGGUGCCUAUGAUAGACGAGUGAAAACAAUGAUAUCUAAGGAGAGGAACUGACGCUCCAACUAGAUGUGUGCUUUCAGGAAUGGGGCAGAGACGCGAUGCAGUUUGGUUAUUCAGCACAUUCCUUGCACCUUCUCCCUUUCCUAUAUACAUACUUUUUACAUAUAAACAAUUACAACUUCAUAAGGAUUUGGUACAUAUUUACAUGCUUCUCUUUGCCGUAUAGUUUGCCUUAUUAUUAUUACAGAACUGUGAUUAAGAGUGUCUGUGGUGGAUAGAGGUGUAUGAAGUGCUCCAGACAUAUAUACAACAUGCUAAACCAUGAUGACCCAAAUAAACAUGAGGGAUGUGAAUCUGGGAAUGUGAGUUUCACUGCACAUCUUUAGAUCCGAAACAGCUGGCCCAUGCAGCUGUUGUUCCCAUGCAGGUACACAUUGGGACCAUGCCAGGAGCUCUCCCAGAGGAGGAGGCCAGGCUGGCAGGGAGCCAGGUAGAGUUACAACAUAUUUCUGGAUGCCUGCAUCGUAGAGUCCAUCGGACUUCAACCCAGCGGUUCACCCACAGCGCCACGGUAGCUUUUAUUAACACAAGGCUAUUGUGUGCCAUUCAGUUGUGAGUAUAAUAAAUGUGCCAAGAAGAUGCAGUCGUUAAAAUGAGACAAAACUAUGCACAGAGGACUAAACAGGAUUUCAGACUCGAGACGCAAACCCCGAGGUCAGGCUCAGCUAGAGACAUUGAACUGGCCCAGUAUCUUGCCGAGUAAAUCAGGAACUGUGGCUUGAAUGACAACAGAAAUGGAUGGGUCUUUCUUGGACAAGUGCUGAUUAAUAGUGCAUUUUCCAGCAGAAAUCCUGCAGCCACCAAAGAAAAAGCAUAUCUGUCUGAUACUAUUAGCUUUUCCCUGAUUUCAACCUAGGGAGCCAUGCCUGGUCCGCAGCCACUGUGUCAUCUGCCCCAAAGUCAGACAUUUCUUCUGACACAAAUAUAAAAUGAGCCUAAUACUUCCAGACAACCCAGUCCUCCCUACGGCAGCUGAGUCGUGUCUUUUAUACAAUGCUGCCAGUAACAGUCACACCUGGCUGCACAGCUGGCUGCCUCAACUUCUAGGUGCCUCGAAAUGGCUAAAUCCCACGAAUGGCUCUUCUGGUUGCAUGAAAACAUGCAUAAACGCAUGCUUGUGCACACAAGUGAGCACACACACACACCUCCUGUCAAUUCAGCUCUGAGAGCAGAACCUUAGCCCACCUAGGGUGGGAGGACACAGAAGUUCCAUCUGCAGCCAGUCAGGCUCCAUCCACAGGCUGGACGAAGCUCCUGGGCUGUGGCCUGGGUCUCCCAGCAGGAGUGGAAAUCACACCUAACGUUGCCUUCACCAAUGCACUGCUUCCUCUCUG
Molecule: long non-coding RNA, 2113 nt
Filed under: Pan troglodytes (chimpanzee)
Lineage: Eukaryota; Metazoa; Chordata; Mammalia; Primates; Hominidae
Description: long non-coding RNA NONPTRT002409
Source: RNAcentral